GAUGAACGCUGGCGGCGUGCCUAAUACAUGCAAGUCGAGCGGACGGACGAGAAGCUUGCUUCUCUGAUGUUAGCGGCGCACGGGUGAGUAACACGUGGAUACCCUACCUCUAAGACUGGGAUACCUUCGGGACACCGGCGCUAAUACCGGAUGAUAUUUUGCACCGCGUGGUUCAGAAGUGAAAGACGGUCUUGCUGUCACUUAUAGAUGCAUCCGCGCUGCUCUAGCUAGUUGGUCGGGUAACGGCCUCCCUAGGUAACGAUGCGUAGCCGACGGGAGAGCGUGAUCGCCCACACUGGAACGGGGACACGGUCAAGACUCCUACGGGAGGCAGCAGUAGGGAACCGUCCGCAAUGGGGGAAAGCAUGACGGAGCAGCGCCGCGCGAGUGAUGAAGACCUUCGGAUCGUAAAACUCUGUUAUUAGGUAAGAACAUAUGUGGAAGUAAAUGUGCAGAUCGUGACGGUACCUAAUCAGAAAGCCACGGCUAACUACGUG
This 497-nucleotide ribosomal RNA is filed under the name uncultured bacterium. RNAcentral describes it as "partial 16S ribosomal RNA". It matches the Rfam family "Bacterial small subunit ribosomal RNA", at positions 28 to 507 of the family's 1533-position model. The record is from RNAcentral.